CAGGCCCCUAUCCCGUCUCCAAAGGUGCCUUCAUCCACACCUGCCCUUCCCACACUGCAGGUGUCACCAGAGAAGACGCUGUACCCUCCAGGCCUGCCUCUGCCCAUCUCUUCAGCCUCCUUGCCCUGCCUUCACCCGACGGAUCCAAGUCAAGCUAUGGGAACCCAAAGCAGGCUGAGCCCAGGCACGUUCCAGAAGGCCUAUGGAAUGGGAUGAAAGAAUUCAUCAGCGCCCACUGCAUACCAACAUGAUAAUAGCAUUGUCUUUUCUCUAUUUUUAAAGAAACUCUGUCUCUCACAGGAAAUAUACAAAAAUGCAAAAAAAAAUUAAGAAAAGAUGAAAAAUAAAUAACUCAUAAA
RNAcentral lists this long non-coding RNA (359 nucleotides) under Chinchilla lanigera (long-tailed chinchilla). RNAcentral describes it as "lncRNA (ENSCLAG00000025785.1)". The record is from RNAcentral. Lineage: Eukaryota; Metazoa; Chordata; Mammalia; Rodentia; Chinchillidae.